UACAGAGGUCUCAAGCGUUGUUCGGAUUCAUUGGGCGUAAAGAGCGUGUAGGCGGCCAGGUAGGUCUGCUGUGAAAACUCGAGGCUCAACCUCGAGACGUCGGCGGAAACUUUCUGGCUAGAGUCCGGAAGAGGAGAAUGGAAUUCCUGGUGUAGCGGUGAAAUGCGCAGAUAUCAGGAAGAACACCCGUGGCGAAGGCGGUUCUCUGGGACGGUACUGACGCUGAGACGCGAAAGCGUGGGGAGCGAACAGG
RNAcentral lists this ribosomal RNA (253 nucleotides) under uncultured bacterium. RNAcentral's name for it is "partial 16S ribosomal RNA". It matches the Rfam family "Bacterial small subunit ribosomal RNA", at positions 524 to 776 of the family's 1533-position model. The record is from RNAcentral.